AAGAGACUUGGCUGCAGAUGGUCCCUGGGAAGUUCGCGGGCGGCCCCAUCCUGUGUCUGAGCCUCGCAGCUGUGCAGGUGGUGUUUGAAGAUGUGCAGCUGGUGAUUUGGGUGCAAAAUAUGGAGUUGAGGACAGAGCACUAUUGGCUUUUGUGGGCAGGACCAGGGAUGCUAAACAUCUUGUACUGCUUUGGAUGGAGGCACAUGAGAAGACUCGUGCUGCUCAUACUGUCCUGAAGAUAUUGUCUCUGUUGAGAAAUCCUGAAGAAUCUCCAAGGCCAGGAUUUUACAGUUUCGGAAUCCACUGGUUUCCUCUGCAGCCGUUUAAGAGAAUCUUUGCAGCACCGAAUUACAGACCUCGCUCUUUCAAAUGCAAGUCCUUAUCCUCUUUCUCUUGAACCUCACAGAUCUGUGUGCAUUUCAAGUUGUUCAUAGCUCGGGAAGGUAAUCUAUUUGAUUUGGGCUUGUAAAAAGAGAGAAAAUUACAUGCACUUCUUGAAUAACAAUAUGUGAUUUCUCUCUCUGAAGAGUCAAUAGGAAUUAGCCUACAUAUAUCAUUUUAGGAAACCGGUUCCUAAUCACAUGAAUAACGGGGACCAAGUCCACAUUUUUUCUGCUGAAAGAGGAACAUGAAGUGAACAUCAAAAUCUCUUGAAGAAAUCGCAGGCGUCUCAGUACUAAUUUUACUCAGGCAUUAAAGCCUUGCCAAUAGUUUUCAGGUGCAUCAGCUACUCCCCAACAAAGGCAAUUCAGCUUCCACAAUUUCAGAGAAUCCUCCUCGCUGCUAUCUUCCUCUCUCUCGUCGUAGCCAUCUCUUCUUCCUGUCCCCCCACGGAAGUGCCCCUACACUGUCCUCGGAGUGUCCCUGCCAAUGCAGAGAUCCACAAAGCAACAAUGUGGGAAGCUGUUAGCUCACCUGCAGAAGAACCCACUUCUCAGACUCCUGGGGGGAGAAGCCUCCUGGCCCCCAGGCUGAGCUGCGGGGGUGGCAGGAGACGAAGAGAGAGGAGACAGCUGGCUUCAGGCCACCACGGACGGGUGAAUGGUCCCACUGAGUGUGGAAGCCAAGAGGUGGGUCUUCCCACCAGAACCUUGCGUCCUGAGAGCAGAGGGGGGGUAGUCACCAGAGAAACGCCGGGGACUGGAUGCAGGCAGGCGAAACAACACACCACAGCCUCCAGCUAGAGCUGGUGGAGCCAGGUACACACCCAGUAACGUCCCGCCUUCCAAUUUCUAGAUAAAGCUGAAGAAGAGACACAGAAAGUGGAUAGGACCAUCCCCCCCAAGACAAAUUAUUGAAACCCAUCACCUAAUCUACAUAAGCCAAGCUCCCAGGAAUUAAAAAAGCAAGUGGUCUCACUGAACUGUAAAAACCAAGGAAGAGGAAGCUCUGCCUUCACCUCUGGGCACAGGUGUGGUCCAGCAAGAGGUGGGCCACCUCACUGCUGACCGCAAAGGGGGAAACCAGGACCACGUAUUGGAAGGGAAGGAGCAAACGUUUCGCAUUAGCAGAUCCAGCUACCAACUAGCCAUGUGAAUUUGGACAAGGUCACCUUCUUGGGCUUCCAAAAUAGAGUUGAUCAAAAGCUCUUUCAGACUCUGAUGUGCUUUGAGGCUGUAAUUCAUAAUUCAGCUCAAGGUCUUCAUGGCUCUCCUAAAGCCUCUUGCAAAGCAAACCUCCAGCUCACCCAACUCCUAUUUCUCUCUCUGUCUGAAUUAAUAACUGUCCUCAUGCUGCCCCCGUUGGGUCCUGAGAACGCUCCUGUUAGGACACCUAGAACACCACUGCUUUUCUUUCUUUCUUUCUUUGCAUCUCUCUCUCUCCACUAGCUCUUCAAUGCCCCGCCCUCAAAGGGAGGUACCAAUGUCAGGUUUUUUCUUUGAAUCUCCAGGGUUUAACGCUGUACCUGACACUCACUUACUAGAUGUUCAAUAAAUGUCUGUUGUUGAAUGAAUGGAAAGGGAGGAUAUAAAAAUAGAGAAGAACGAGCCCGAGCCAAUUCAAAGCUCAAGAGCCAGCUUUUGCUAAAAGCCAUAUAUUCUGCCCAUAAGAUCUUGGACUUCUUGGAAUUAAAAAGAGAGAAGAGGGAAUUUUAGAAAUUAUAGCAAUAAUUUUCAGACCUCACAGUUUCUAAUACCCUAUGUCUCCACUGAGAUAUGCCAAUUUCACAGGAUUUUAGAAAUACUAGAGUUUUACCUAGCCUUUAUGGAAUGUCUUAUAUUUGUAAAAACCUAGUAUAAAAUUGCUGAGUAGGAAUUUCCAGAUCCCUUACUUCCUGACUUCAUGCCUCUUUAAGCUGUUCUCGGGGAGAAAAAAAAAAUCAGAAAGUUUAAAACUGACUACGUCUUGUCUUCAUAAACUUUGAUCCUUUCACUUAUUUAAAAUUCAUAACCACGCUGGCCUAAUAAUUAGAAUUGCUAAAGUACGUAGGGAAGGCCAUGAGGGAUGAACCCCCUGGUCUGUCUAGCCAGGUCACCAGAAAUGGUGAACCCUUGCUGGUAUGGUGCUGGGAGGAAAAGAGGGGGCUGAGGCUGCCAGCAGAGGUGGCCCAGAGCAUGACAGACCCAAGCUGGUCCAGUUCCAGGAGUUUGGAUUUGAGGGGACUGAGAUCCGGUGCAGCGUCAAAACUUUUGGGCAGCGGCCAACUGUUUGAUGAGCUUUGGCCUCAUCAGGGAGGACCACGCACGAGUGAUUCCAGACUCAGGAAAGGGGUCAAAAGGAAAAGGGAAACACAGUUGACUGUGCCUCUUCCUUGUACCAGGCCUGCUGCUGAACGGAUGCUUCCGCAGGGCGGGGGCAGGGAGAUGCUGUCCCCAGAAGUGUGGGUUCGCCAGUGGUGUCCCCGAGGGAUACUGAAUGAGGGUUUCUUCCAGAAUGUUGCCCACAAGCAAGAACAAAGUACGUCUCCAACUUCAGUGUGGUGAUGUGCGAUGUAUGGUUCAUCCAUCCAUUUGUCUAAGCAAUCUGAGUAGCCAAUGUCAUGAACUCAAUUAUUUUUAGUUUUUCUGUUCACUGUGUAAAGAAGUGAGUCCCUUUGGCCCUCAUGAGUGCUGUCCUGAGACCGGAGAAAAGCAUACCAUGAGACCAUGAUACGACCAGAGGUGUAAUGACAAUAAUAAACCUUAUUUGAACCAAAAAGAGCAGGGUUUUGGUAGGCUCCCAGGGGUCUUAUCUAAGGGGUGCACAAGGGGAAGGCCCUGGGAGGUGGGAGAGACUAUUUAUCACAGGGCUGCCGGAGGAGUUAUAUCAGGAGCUCACAUUUGCUGUGACUCUGCAGGCUGUUAUCUAGGGCAUGUGCUUGAUAACAUGAGGGGCUGGCAUCAGUUUAAGUACCCCACAGGCCUCUUGGCCAAACACAUUGGAUGCUGAAGCAGCAAUACCAUGGAGUAGCUUAGCUAAACUCUCGACCAUACCUUAUUGUAAAACUUUAAGGAAAGGCAAGGGGUUAAGCUAAAUUUUAGGAUAAUGUUGAGGAGUCAGAAGGAGAAACAGAGGGAGAAAUGUGAUUAGGGCGAGACACCCAGAGGGCUUCAAAGGUACCAGAAUAAUCUGACUUUAAAUGGAGAGGUGAGAAAUGCUGGUGUUCAUUUGAUCAUUAUUCUUUAAACUGUGCAUUUAUGUUUUUAUACCCUGAUUUGUAUGUAUGACAUAUUUUAAAAUAAAAGGCAUUUAAUUCCCUCCCAAAAACUAAAGACCCAGAGCCUGAAUGAAAGCAACUGAUCAAGAACUAAAAAAAGUUGCCAAAAUAAGGCCACUAAGACAUUAAGUGAAAAUUUAAUCUCUUUCUCUCUCUCUCUUUCUCUCUCUCUCUCUGCCUUCACUGGUAAAAUUUUUGCUGACUGGAAAAAUCUCUGUGGGAGUGAGAAGCAUUAGAACUUAUCUAUGAAUUACAUUUGAGGGAAAAUACUUUUUCCCCUCCCUUCCCAUCCUGCUUGUCAGGGCAGGAUUGAUUCAGCACACGUUCUUUUCCAAAGUUGAAAGGUUAAAAAUAAUGCCCACCCUCUGGAAGCCAUUGGACAGAAGCCGGCUUGACGUCAGAAUGUGUUCAGCUGGGCUGUCCCGCUGUCCUGCCCUCGGCGGCUGCCUUUCCCUGGGUUUGUCCGAGGCUCUCCAUUAUGCUCUGUGCACCAGCUCAAUACUUCUUAUUUUGCUUCACUCUUUACAUGCCUUGAAUAGCUCUUUUAUUUUUUUUGCUGAGCCCUGGCUUAGCCAAAUUCCUUAUAUUUGGUUUCUUUGAUCUUUCUGAUCAAAUUAUUUUCUGUUCCACUCCUCUGAGCCCCUUCCAGUUCCCUCUAUUUCUCAAGAAGCCAGGUGUUUAAUAAAGAAUCUGAAUGAGGCUCAGGCAGAAUCGGGUGUGUGCAGCUGCUUGCCCCCAGGUCACUUGCUGCUUUCUCCUUAAGCAACGAAGAUGGUUUUCUAAAGGCAUGUGACAUUCCGGAGACACCACAGUGCCCUGCACAUGGCAAGUGCUCAGUAAUUACUGAGUGGAGGAACUAAUCAGGAUCUCUUUUAAAUGAGCUAGCCUAUAUUCCAACUUACACUUAACCUGUUGCCCCAUCCCACCCUCAGACCAGCUUUCUUUCUGCUCUCAGGUUUUCCUUUCCAGUCUAAUAGUUAUUUCAUACCUUAUUUCCUUGAUGCUUUAGUUUACACAUUUUUAAAUUCAAUUUUCUUUUGUUUCCUGCUCAUAUAUUUAACCUCAUUAGUUUCAUUCAUGUCGUAGGAUUUUGCUAGUAACUUUGUUUACCAGAUUAGCAUUAUUUCUAAAUUAUUGUUUUACCCAUUUCUCUAAAUAACUGAAAAUCACGUUCAUAUUGUCUUAUUAAUUUCUCUUUAUUAGAAAGUAGACUUUGCUUACAUAUUUAUGACUUUUCAGUGUUUUUCUAAUUGGCCACAGCGCAAAGUUCAUCAUAUCUUAUGAUUCUGACACAGGUUUGGGUUAAGAGUAAAGAUCAUUGUCUUAAAAUGAUAUGAUGUCUGGGAUUUGCUUCAAAAUAAUCUAGUAGAAGGAUUAUAGGUGAAACAAGAUUACCGUGGGUUGAUCGUUGGCCGAGCUGGGUGAUGGAUACAUGGGGUUCAUUGUACUAUUCAAUUAUGUAAAUGUUUGAAGUGUUUCCACAAUAAAAAGUUUUUAAAAAAAUAAAAAUAUAGAUAUAUAAAUAAAAGUUGAUCCAAUGGAUUAUCUUAAGAUACACAGAGAGGGAAUGCCCCCAUCAUUCUCCAACCUUCCCUGUCAUUGUUACCUACUGGAAGUUCAGCCAAUCCUCUGCAUUCAUUGUGAAGUUUAGCACUUGCUCCUCCCCUUCCUUUCUUUCCAAACUCUUGUUCUCACCUGGGAGAUUUCCUUGUGCUGGUGUGUGGCUCUUCCAACACCUCACAUCUGCAAUGCUAAUCGUCUGCACCUUCACGCCCUUUCAGCAGCCCACUAUCCUAUCCCUUGAUUUAAAUGGUUUCUUACAUGAUGCAAAUCUCUAUCUGCUUACUGUCUAGCACUUUGGCUAAGGCCUUCAGGUUAUGUUUUGAUACAGAAUUUACUUUUUCUCAACAUCAGUCAACACAUAAAACACAUGUAUAAUCCAGCCAUUUCUGGCUUAAAAUCUUUCAGGUCUCUCUCUGAACUUCAAAUUCAAGUCCAGUAACCUUCACAUCCAGUUCAUGCUUUCCCACCAUUUCCAGCCUCUUUCUCUACCAUCCUCCAAUAUUCACUCUCUUUUCCAGUUAUAUUAAAGUGUCUCAUUUGUGAGUAACAGAUCAUGCUUUCUUAACCUCUCUAAACUUUGACCAUAGUGUUCUCUGAGAUUCAGAUGUCCUUCUGUCAUUCGGCCUCCGGAGGACUUCAGCAACUUUUGUUUAUACCUCAAGAUUCAAUUCAAGCAUCACUCCUUUUGGAGGACUUCCCUGAGCUGUUCACAUUGAGUUAAAUGCCCCUGCCAAUACUUUUUUCCAUUACGCUCUUUGACUACACCCACCCUAAUACUCUGAAACCCAACUGUAAUCACUGAUGUUCUUCUUUUCCUUUCUAGACUGUGAGCUGUUUGACCUCUUCCAACUCUUUCUUUCCAAAGCCCAAUCCAGUGCCUGGCACAGGUAUUUCAAUGAAUGACUAACUGAAUGAACAGAGGAAUGGAAAAAUGAAUGCUAUUGUCUUCUUGAGGUAGCACCUCCCUACCCAAGGGCCUUCUCUAGAGGUCUGGGUCAAUGCUCUUGGUCCUGGGCAGCCCCUUCAGGCUUUGCCUCCUAACUGCCUUCUUCAACCUACCUGACCCACCUGGUUCUAGCUGUAACCCAACUGUCCCUUUCUCUACUGAGUCCUUCAUACUUGGUGCUCCAUCUAGACAAGUGUUGCCCAAAGUGUGAUACCCAAUAAUUUUUAGGUGAUACUCAGACAAAUGUAUUUUGACAGUCUUGUAUUUACAUUCAUAUAUCUGGCAGCAGAGAAUGAGCACAUAAAACCUGUAAUUUCAUAGAGAAUAUUGCUCAGGAUGAGACAAAUGUAGUAGUGCCAUGGUAAUCAACUUUACCUGGACCUCAUAAAUCAGGGGUGGGAUGCUCAGGUAUAAUCAUAAGUGUUCCAAGCCCUCAAUAACUGAACCAUUAGAAGCACAGACAGCCAGGACUCACACCAAUAGGGAAGAACUCCCAUUCACUGAAUUCUCCAGGCACCUCUGUUUUAUUCAGUGAUAUGUUGAAAUAUCACUUCCUGAAGUUGAGUAUGUAUAUAUACAUUUAAAUAAUACAGAUAAAACAGUAAAUAUCUUUUGAGCUAUCUAAAUAUAUCCUCAUGGGAGUUCAGCUUUUUAGUGGGUUAAUAUAGAAACUGACAGAUUUGUCUCAUUGAUGUAGAUCCUCAUCUUUGUCUGAAACUAUCAAUUAGGAUUUCUAGCUAUUUUGAUCCAAAAGUUCCAUUGUCAUCAACAAGAAACUUAUAUUCAGCCAUACAUUUUAUACAUUUUGAUUUAUUAUAUUUUUCAUUUUUCAUUUCUAAAAGUUUAAUAACUUUGUUUUUUAUAGAAUUUACUAUAUUUCAUCAAAUCUAAUAUACCACUGAUAAGUAAAACACAUCAUUAUUUCAUGUGCUACUAAAAUAUGAUGAU
Molecule: long non-coding RNA, 7094 nt
Organism: Balaenoptera acutorostrata (minke whale)
Lineage: Eukaryota; Metazoa; Chordata; Mammalia; Artiodactyla; Balaenopteridae
Exons: 3
Source: RefSeq, a predicted model, not a curated record